AGAGAGGGUAAUUGUGUGUACGUUUGUAGUUUCUAAUAUUUUGGUGAGAUGGGGGCUCAGUUGUUUACAUGACCCAAUCCAUAAACAUUUUGCUAGAGCAAUAAAUGAAGAAGAUACUGUUUGUUUUAUUUUCUACUUAAUAUUAUUGUUACUUCACACUAGAAUUAGAAUGACACUGUAGCAUAGAAUCUUGGCCAAGAUAGAAAUCUUCAAAGUCAUCUAUGUUUCCUGAUAAAGGGGACAAUUAUUUGCCAUGGCACUAAGAUGUGUCAUCUUUGUGAAUAUGAUCUAGAAGAAAAAGCACAAUUAUUUAAAUAUGGCCCAUUUUGGUUUCUGAUAGAUUUGUUUGACACCUUUUCUUAUUUUGAGGUGUAGUAUGCUUCCAUGUACCUUUCCAGUAUAAAUUCAGGUCCUACCAUCUGGAGUGACUCAAAGUAAGGUUGGACUUCUUUUGGAAGACAAAAACAAACAAACAAAAAGCAAAAACAACAACAACAAAAACAAUUAUUCAAAUAUUUGAAGAUAAAUAUUGCUGCGAAAGGCCAUCAUGGCAUGUUCAUCAUAUGGCAUCCCCUGCUAUGUCUCUUCCUGGUUGGGAGGAAAUGGGGUCCUUCACCUGCUGCCCAAGACGGGUGCGUGCAAGUCAUCUCCUGUGUCGACUGUGGGACGAGACCCGCUGAUCAUAAGAAACUGAACUGAUACUCACUGUUGAAACUGGGCUUUCUCUGUUUCUUCUAUAUGAUAGUAAAGCAUUG
This 755-nucleotide long non-coding RNA is filed under the name Homo sapiens (human). RNAcentral's name for it is "HSALNT0056682". Lineage: Eukaryota; Metazoa; Chordata; Mammalia; Primates; Hominidae. The record is from RNAcentral.